CUUGUUGGCUUUAAUUCUAAUCCUCUAAUCUUUCUGAACAUAGAAAGAGGCAUUAGAUUAAUGCGUGCUCCCAAAUCAAUUAGAGUUUUUCCCACUUCUAACUCUCCAAUAGUACAUGGAAUAGUGAAACUUCCCGGAUCUUGCAGUUCAGGAGGUAAUUUCCUUUGUAUGACUGCACUACAGUUUCCUUGCACUUCAAUGGUUUCCUUCUCAACAUACUUCCUCUUUUUCAUAAGCAAUUCUUUUAGAAAUUUAGCAUAUGAGGGCAUUUGCUGAAGUGCCUCAGAAAAUGGUAUGGUUAUUUCCAACUUUCUAAAAAUCUCCAUAAAGCGCUCAAACUGCUUUUCUUUCUCCCUUUUCGAGUAUGUUUUUGGAUAAGGCAAAGGUUUAACAUACUCUUGUUCUUUCAAUUUUUCAACUUCUUCUUUCCUCUCAUCAC
RNAcentral lists this long non-coding RNA (439 nucleotides) under Vigna radiata. Its description in RNAcentral is "long non-coding RNA (VRAD_LNC015524)". Lineage: Eukaryota; Viridiplantae; Streptophyta; Magnoliopsida; Fabales; Fabaceae. The record is from RNAcentral.